This is a long non-coding RNA of Apis laboriosa (Himalayan honeybee), 1258 nucleotides long. RefSeq lists it as uncharacterized. NCBI's taxonomy places the organism in Eukaryota, Metazoa, Arthropoda, Insecta, Hymenoptera, Apidae. The transcript has 3 exons. The record is from RefSeq and is a predicted model, not a curated record.
GUCACGCGAGGAAUUCAACUCUGCAACGAGACGAAUGAAUGUGUAUGCGGACGUGCACAAACCUGAUGCACCGCGGGGAUUAACAGCGUUCACUUUCACGUGCAAUUAUCUGCUUUUACGAGUGUGUCUCUCGGGAAACAUUAUCGCGCGAGGUAGUAACGAUAGUCCUCUUGUUUCUCCUUCAUAGAGGGGACAAAGACGAGAAAUGGAUGGUUAAGACUUGAUUAUCAUCUAUUUAGAAGUUUGAAAAAAAUAAAAUAACGAGAAGAAAAAAGCAAAACUGAAUUGAUUAAUUAAGAAAGAAGAACCUAUGAAUCUCUUUGAAAUUCAAGAUUAAAAAACUUUCUCUUUACUCACGGAAAUAUAUGAAGGUUAAUGAAAUAUCCUAUGACAAACAAAAAAUGAUGCUACCAGACAAAAUUUCCUUCGUAAUGGAAGUCACUCUAUUAUCUUACCUUGGAUAAUUAGGUCGAACCGCUCUAGGUAUUUUUCUUCCCCUCCAAUCUUCCCCUCCAUUCUACCCGUUUAACGCGCGGACACAGCAUUGCAGCGAGAAUAAAUUCAGAUGUGAAUUAAUGCGAGCGGAAAACUUAAUGGAGAUGACUCAGGUGGAUCGAACUGUGGAUUACUUUCGCUGGAAAUAUAAAAUUAUGUAGAAAUUCGUUUGACGUCCUGUUUUAUCAGACGUUGAUCUUCAAUUUUUCACCAGCCAUAGAAUAUUAUAAACACAAAAAAAAGAUAAAUUGCCCUUCUCACUGUUCCUUUUCAAGAUGUAUUUUCUAAAUUAUUAUAUAAAUUUUUCAUCGUAGAGAAAUGAAGGAAUAUAAAUUUUUUUUAAGAAAAAAAAAAAAAAAAAAAAAAAAACUACACUACAGCUAGUUUUUCAAAAUAUUACCUUAUUUUCACAUUUUCGUUAUCUAUAAAAUUGUAAUACAAUUCGUUGCGCGUUGCACAAUUUUGAUUUUAGUUUGGAAACGAUUGCUUCCGUUCAAAAUAUUUUUUUAUCCGCGAAUAUUCCGAAUACACCGGUAUCACGUAACGAUAAAUAUAAAUUUUGAAUUUUUUUCGAUUAUUCCACGAAUUUGAAAGAAAAUUUUUAUUCGAAUUCCAUACUAUAUGAUAUACAGUUAUAAAUAAAACUUGUUUCAAGCUUUUCAUAACAUUCGCUAUUAUUAUUAUCAACGAAUAAAAUCGAAUCGAAUUUCAAAUUAUAUUUCUUUUUCUCUCUUUUAGUUUAAUUUAAUUGCCAAGUCACAUA